AAGAUUUUACCUUUUUUUUUUUUUUUUUAAUUUAAGUGUUUUGAUAAUGAAUAGGUAGAUUUCCUUUUGUAUAAGGAGUUUAGGAAUUGGAAAAAGGUUUGUGCGCUCGAAUCUUUAAGAUCUUGGUAGGUAUAGAUGGCUGAAAAUAGUCUUUAUAAUUUUACUAAGUAGUAAAAUGCUAUCGAUUAGGGUAUAUUAGUUUAGAUUAUUACAGUUAAGCUGUUAGAUUCCAAUAUUAUAUUUUAUUUUUAAUGUAAAGAUUAGUAGUGUAGUGGUGUUAUUACUAUGUUGGAUUUUAUGAUAAUAGGCAAGGUAGUUUGGAACGUAAGGUUUGUAAUGAGUAAAUUUUUAACAAUCUAAAUAUUAGUAGAAGUGUGUUAGAAGUUAGUGAUAUUAGGCUAUUUUGUUAAAUUCAUAGUCUUUACGAAUGUUUAUUAAAAACAUUUCUUAAUUUGUAUUAGGUAGGCCCUGCUCAAUGAUUUUUAAAUAGCCGCAGUAUGUUGACUGUGCUAAGGUAGCGUAAUCAUUAGUCUUUUAAUUAAGGUCUAGUAUGAAGGGGUGAACGAUAAAGUAAAGUAACAAUAUAGUGUGUUGAAGUUGUAGUUUGAAUGAAAAUAUUCAGGUUAGACUAAAGACGGAAAGACCCUGGAAGUUUUAUAAGGAUUUAUUUUAUUGGGGUAAUAGUUGAAAUAAUGGUUUUAAUAGAUUGAAGGAAAUUACUCCAGGGGUAACAGGACAAUUUAGAAAGUUAGUUCUUAUAUAUUUUUAAGAUUGUUACCUCGAUGUUGGAUCAUCUCAUCUUAAGGGGAUUUUAAGUAGAGGUCUGUUCGACCUGAUUGAGUUACGUGAUCUGAGUUUAGAUCGGUGUGAGCCAGAUCGGAUCUUAUCUUGGAAUAAGCUCGAGUGGUACGAGAGGAUGCUUGAGUGUUAAUAAAUUAACAU
RNAcentral lists this ribosomal RNA (942 nucleotides) under Macracanthorhynchus hirudinaceus (giant thorny-headed worm). RNAcentral's name for it is "large rRNA". The stretch from base 629 to 892 matches the Rfam family "Archaeal large subunit ribosomal RNA", at positions 2151 to 2715 of the family's 2987-position model. The record is from RNAcentral. Lineage: Eukaryota; Metazoa; Acanthocephala; Archiacanthocephala; Oligacanthorhynchida; Oligacanthorhynchidae.